AAAUAGGUUUCUGUGAUGGGAAGUCUGGGAUGCAUCAUUUUAAUCAUGCAGGAUUCUAAGAUAAAUUCGAGGUGGACUAUGUUUUUCAAGUAUUGCUUAUGAUUUUGGCUGAACUGACUCAGAGAAAACAAUGAAGUUCAAGGGCUUCCAGUCCCUUACAGGGUUCAACAACCAAAUCACAGCAUGCUGGAGAUUUUUCUGAAUACCAAACCCCCUUGCAUUUUUCCUUUUCAUCUAUAAUCAAAUGGCACUUUCCCCCCCUUGUUGCUAGUGAAUGCAUUAGGGUUUAAACUUUAUAAUCUCCAGAGCCGUUUCCUGGAAUAGAUGGAAGCGGAGCACUUGGUUAGGGACAGCCAGGAGGCUGGGAGAGAUGAUUACCUUCAGGCAGUCUCAGUGGAACAUCCCAGGGUUCCUACAGGCACAGCCUAAUGCGGGACUUACAAUGCUGAACAGACUUCCAUUAUGGGGGCUGGCUAUGUUGAUGCACAUCCACACAUAGAGAGCUCCUUGUUAAAAUGCACACCAGUGGCUCCAGAAUACAGCAGCUCAGUCGGGGUUCAUUAACAGCAGAAUCAUUCCAAGGGACAUUGUUUCAGAGAGGAAAGAAUUUCAUUUCUGUCAGGAUUGGGUUUUAGUUGCAUAUAGCCUAGAGAUUUUGCUAAGGAUUGUGUUGAAAGUCUACUUAGACGGAGACUGGAGCUUGCUUGUGCAGCCAUGCUGAAGGCUUUAGUAGGGUUAACUCGAGAUGUGCAUGCAGCAUCUACCACAGUGGGACCCCAGCUUACAUGGGAGCAUGUUAAAAUAAAUUUGUAUUAAAGAGGUGCCUUUAAAGCGUGUGUAUACUACGGGAAUCGGGAGCUGACGUGAGAAUUGCUCAGCUAUGUGUCAUAGACUCAGCACUGCUAAUGGAGGAUCUCUGCCCAUGACAGUAAUGGGAGAGCAAGUGUGCUUUGUUCUGCUCUCAAUAUUCCCUUUCGGCAGGCACACCAGCAAUUGCCCAGACCUGCGCAGCUUUUGAGACGGUGAAGGGCUGCUGUGAUAAGGAAAUCUCAGUCCCUUUUAAUCAGCAGGUAUUAAAUAAACAAAAUAAUUACCACUAAUAGAUACAAAUGGGUUGCUGCACAGCCUGAGUGUCAACUUUCUCUUACUUAUUUACCAGGGACCAUGCACUGAACACGCAAGACAUCUAAUGGUUUAGUAAUACACUGCAAGUAAACAUCUAAUUACCAGGUCUAAGAGGGGAAGGAAUAAAAAGCAACUAGGAUGAAGCUUUCAGUCAUCAUAGCUUUGAUUUCUUGUAUGGAGUCUUGCAUGAAACAUGCUGGUAGCUCUCAUCUCACAUGUAUGCCACUGCUUCUCAGGAAUAAGCCUGGUGCCUGUUCAUUCACUGCUCAGCUCUUAUUUUUAAAAACUACUCUCUCUGAAAGGGCUGUCUUUUUUUUUUUAAAAAAAAAAAAAAAAACAACCAAAAAAAAAAAAAAAAAACAACCAAAAAAUUGUACAGCAAAAGGGACAAAAUUGCUCCUCAACAAAGGGGCCUAUCAACAGCCUGUCAAUAAUGUGCCAAAGGCCAGAACCUGCCUUUCAAAGAGGCUCUGCAGCCUCGAUGUAUACUUUGAGAGCAAUUAAGGGACGUGAGCAACAUGAUGAUUAUCUCAUGGGUGACAUUUUCAUUGGUUCUUUGGGAAAAGAGAGAGAUGGGUUUGAGACGGCUGUGAUCAAUGUUCAUCCCAGUCCCACAUAAAUGACAGAAGAACAUGUGGUAGAUGGGCCUGGAAAGCAAAAUGCACAAGAAAAGGAAGGAGGGGGGCGGGGGAAAGACAUGAUGAAGAAAGAAAGAUUUUUAAAUCCUGGAAGCUGAAAGGAGCUACAGUGAGAAGUAGAAGAACACAACCUGGGAAAUGAGAGUGGGAAUGUCAGGAGGGCUGGCAGAUCUCCAGAGGCCGGGGAGAGUGGGAAUAGGAGAGGAAGGGACUGCAGGAUUCCUGGCGGAGAAGUACAGAAAGAAGAGGGGAACGGAUCCCCCUGAGUGAGGAGAAAGUCCAGAGAAACUGGCCUAGACAUGUUGUGCAUGCACAGGGAGAAUCUGCUGUAGGCGCACCACAAUGCCUCUUCCUUUUCCCAUCAUGGACCCUGUACCACUGGGCAGCAUUGUCCCAGACCAAGCCCUUGGUGUCACGCACCUUGUUGAUUUAUCAGGUCACAGUUGCACUCCGAGCCUAAGGAAGGAGGAACAGAACACUCCCAGACAGAGACUAACGAGUUGUUUUAGGACAGAAGUGGAAUUAUGAUUAUUCUGCUUUUAUAUCAGCAUAUUCCCAUCAGUGUUGUCCACCUAUCCUUCCUUCAUCCCUUCUGUCUUUGUGCUGCAGGUACCAACAAAAGCCCAGAGCUGAGAGCAGGCAGGAGUGCACAGAGGCAGACUGCGUUGGAUGGGAGGUGAAUGCUGUUUGGGUGCAGAGACAUGACUACACGCAAACUAUGCUGAAGAUAGAAAUCAACUGACAUGUUCACUCUGGAGGAAUCCCCUGGGGUACCAGCAGAAUGCAUUAAGAGUGCAUUUCUCCAGCGAGCUGUGAUGGGAAGAGCACAGAGCAAAAAAGAAGCAUUUUUGCUUUUUGUUAACACAAGCAGAGAGAACAUGAAGGAACAAUCUCUCGAAGGAUACAGACUGACAGCAAUAUUGCCAUCUGACUAAGAAGAACUCAGACAUACGCAUAAUCCUCAGGAAGAUUCAUCUCCACCCUCCCAACAGACCCUGGUGAGAGCCCUUGAAGUGGUAAUUAAAGUCUAUUGAGUGGCAACUGCA
Molecule: long non-coding RNA, 2809 nt
Organism: Tyto alba (common barn owl)
Lineage: Eukaryota; Metazoa; Chordata; Aves; Strigiformes; Tytonidae
Exons: 3
Source: RefSeq, a predicted model, not a curated record